RNAcentral lists this long non-coding RNA (22433 nucleotides) under Gallus gallus (chicken). Lineage: Eukaryota; Metazoa; Chordata; Aves; Galliformes; Phasianidae. The record is from RNAcentral.
CGGCGUCGCGCCCCGUAACGGUCGCCCGGCGGCGGCCGUCGGCUCCGGGUCGCCGCUCCGCUUUCGCCCUCGGGGCCGCGGCAGCCGGCCGUCCCCCGGGCACGUGGUCCCCGCUCGUCGGGAAGCGGCGGAGCCCCGCGGUUCCCCGGCGGAAGGCGAGCGCCGUAGGUGGGUGCCGCAGCCUCGACGGGGAGGCGGCCGGAGGGCAGCGCCGGCGUGCGGCCCCGUCGGCGGGCGACGGCCUCGCGCCGCCCCGCUCCGCUCGUCGCCGGCUCCGGCCGGUUCCCAGAGUUCAGGGAACGUUCUGGAUGCGCGUGGUCGAGGCCCGCGCCGACGGCCGAGCUUCGACGGCCGCGGGGAGAGUGUGAAACGAAUUCGAAAUAGCACCGAGCGGUGAAUCGCGGCGGCCGGCCUGUGGCUGCGGCCGCCAGCGGUGGGAGGAAAUGGGGCGAGCGUGCGCCUGAGGUGAUGGGAGACCCGGGCGCGGGCAGAGCGCGGUGCUCGGGGACGGGAGGAGGGGAAACGGGGAGCCCGCGGAGCGUCUGGCCGAGGGAGACGCUGGGGUGCCCCGAAGGGAGGCGGCCCGGAGCCCCGCAGCGCAGAGCCGGGGCGCGGAGAGGAGGUGAGAGAGUCUGCCUGCGGGAACGGGCGUGCUCAGAGCUGCGGUGCAGGUGCAGCCGCGCCGCCGGCGGAGGGAGGAAGGCAGGUGGGCGAACGGGGCCCCCGGGGCUGCUUCCCGGAGCUUCGUGGUGUGCUCUGACGUGGGGAGGGGGAAGUGCCUCGCACCUGAGGAGCCCGUCUGGGGGGAAGAAGGAUUGCAGGGAGGUCCUUGUUUGCGGUAAUGUUUCUGAAGUAACCAGGGCCUGUCACUGUUGUCUUCAUGUUUAUUUCUAAGCAAGGAAAAUGAGCCUCUUCAGAUUGACUUUUGAACUCUUAGGCUUAAACGGUCCACACUGAACUAAAUAGGAAUUUGGCACAGACGAGGAGUACCUCUCAUAAAUCUUGUAGACAUACAAGCUGCUUCUUCUCCCUUUAAGUGCGUUACUUGAAGGCUGGUGGUCCCUUAGCUCACAGCCACCUGACUCUCGUUUGGCUGAAGAUAUUCCUGGCCAAGGCCUGAGCUGCAUCAAGGAUAACAAGAGUGCGCGAAGCCUCUGGUGCAGGGUGUUAAUGGGUGGAGUCAGCGUGGCACCCGUAGGGUUUCACCAGCGCUAGCAAUAGUUUUCUUCUUUGUUGUGUUAGUGGCAGUAUGGGAACUGGUUCCGUGAGCAACCUAGCAGAAGCGAUAUAACUGUUCUACAACAGCUGUGUCGCGUUCAUUUCUCUGGGUUAUUACAUGGGUUAUUCUGAAAUAAAGGUGAUUCUAGUGUAUGAUAACGGAAUAACAGUCUCAGAAUGAAAUCACUUUUACUCCCAGGCAGUCUCACCACGGAGGGUCACACAGGUGGAGCUGUAGAGUCGGAAGUACACAGCUGAAGGCCUGUCUGUUUCUUUCCCUGGGUAGGCAGGUGCUCAUGGUUUUCAAGCAGAUUGUGUACUUUUGCUCCGCUUCUCGCUUAUUGGAAUGGGAAACUGGAACUCGAUGGGAAGCAGUGGCUGUGGGGCAGAUACCCUCUUGAAAAAACAAGUGUUCAGUGAAAAUUUCUGUUGAGCGGUUACAGCCCGGUCCUCGCAGUUCCUGUCUCUCUGGAGGAGAGAGGAAGUGAGGAAUAUAAAUCUAUAUGAUCAAAGUAAUACAGCUAUUAGUAAAUAACCUUUCUUCCUCCUUCAAGUUCUGCCUGCAUAAAUAUCCGUUUCUAUGUAUACCUGUACCAGUUCUCAGAGAAGGUGAAUUUGAGCUGUAUUAAUUAAAUAGAGAAUGAUUUCCCGGGAUGGGAAGCUGCCAAACUAAGAAAGAGCUGACAGUCUGUGAAGGUCAGAUUCUACACAGAAGUUUUGCACAGAUCCAUGCUGAAGACAUUUCCCAGAAAUUCUGUGGAAUGUACUAUUGACCUUGUAUAAUGUGAAGUGCUUGAAACUUUAAGCUCUGUAGCAAUAGAGGGAUAUAAGGAUGUAUAAGCAAGACUUGCAGAGGGUCGAAUGUUUUGUAUAACCCCUAUAUAGAAAUUGCUGAUCUUGGUUUUUUUUGGUUUUUUUUUUCAUGCAAUUUAAUUUUAUGUUCCUUUCCACACUUCAAAAAAGUACACGAUGGCUUCUUUAACAAAGUAUUCUUUUCAAGCUGGUUGAUACAGGAAUUUAUUUAUAAACCUUUUUAAUAAUGCAAAGUUAAGGUCAGUGUUAGAAUAUGACGUUUCAGAGUGUCAACUUCAGGUGACUUUCAACCUCUCAUAAACAGAGAUAAGGGAAUACUUAGGAAGUAGAAACGUAUACAUAGGAAAUAUGGUUAAUAAACACAUCAGUCUUCUAAUGCAACCUGGGUUCUGUCAUGUGAAGUUCAUUACUGGAAAUGAUUGAACGUGAUAAUGCCCUAAGCAGAGAUGAACAAAUUCUGUCAUUUGUUCAGAGUAUGUAGGAUGACAGUGAGGAUCUUUCAGUUACAAUACAGUUACGUGUGUGAGGGUUAGCAAAUUAAAAGGAAGCUAUUGCUGCUACCGUGCUUGAAUGUAGCUGGAUUUCCCUCUAGGUUUGCCCAGGAGAUAAGCAGACCGUACUUAUUGAUACCAUUGCCUUUGUUAACUUUAUUGUUAUCUAUAUCAUUACACAUCAUGGUAUCUGUAUAACAUGAGUGAAAUGUGCCAGGGUACCCUUCAAAGAGCGUAAGGCGAAGACUGUGCAUGCAACUGAACUUACAACUUGUUUUCUUUUUUAAUUUCUGUGGCUCAGCGUUUGAAUUUAAACCAUUGUAAAUAUUUUGCAAGAGAAUUGCAAAAACACACCAAGAAACCUGUUUUAAGAUUUAAAGUUAGUGAAUUCCUUCAUAUUUUGAACAGAAAAGGAAAUACAGCAGCGGCUGUAAUGUCAGUCUGGGGAAGCACAGUUAUCAUAUGAGUUAACCGAUGGGAACGGGAGCUGGGCAAAGGGAUCUCCCCAUUUCCCUGUCAACUGGAUGGAUUGAGACCCAGGAAUCUGGAAAUUUGGAGUGAGAACUUGGGCAGGAAUGUCAGGGUUUGGCAGACCGGGUUUCUGUGCAUCUGGCUUUUUGUUGGGUGAAAGCCUGACUGUCCUGGGAGUCCCAUUAGAAGCGGAGAGUUUGUUCUGGCUCUCGGCUGCAUCACUAGGGCUAGGGUUCCUGUGGCUUCAGAGCAAAGACCUGGAAUAUCAGGAAACCCCGACUCCCGGGCAGUCUCUGUGGCAGGAGUUCCCCACAGCUGUGAACUCUUCAAGUCCAUUUGCUGCUGCAGCUCCUCUGGUAGCGAAGAAGGAAAAUCGCUGGAAUGGUUUCACAAAAGCAUCUUGCGGUAGCCAACACCCUUGGCUGUGUGAAUUUUGGCUGAGAUGGUGAGGAGUGUUGCCACCCAAGUAUGAUUCCACCGCCAACUCCAUCGAUGUUUCACACUGAGAAUGGGUGAAUGUUUGGAGUAUGGAAAUAAUUCAAGGAACAUAAAUUGAUGAAGGUAAAGGGUCACAAAGAAGUUGAGAUGUUUGUUACUACUUCACUCUCUGUAAAGGAUUCAAACCUACAUUAGAAUUGUCAUGCUUCGGCCAGUGCAAACUGCAAUGCAGAGCCUCAAGAUGACCUUCAAGCUACAAAUGUGACUCAAGUACAAAACAAAGAAAUGAAGAUGUGUAAGACAAUACCUACAUUCAUCCUGUUGUUUACAGGAUAUUGUGUUAAAAAUAUGCGUGUUGCUGCAACGGAGCCAGAAGCCAAAUCAAGAACAUCAGUGUCACUUGUUUCUAAUUCCACACAGAGCUUUUCAACAGACACACAAACUUUUCAACUAACGACAACAAGUUCUUACCUUCUAGAUUCAGAGACAGGAAUUGCCGAUUCCUCCACAGCAAUAAGUAAUGCAUCUAUAUUAGUGGCAGGACUCAGCAUUUUCUUUGUGCUGUUCUUUCUUUGUGCAAGUCUUGGUGUUUGGAGUGCACGGAAAUUGUCGAAGCGAGAUUCAUUUGACGUUACUCCUGCUGCCCCAUCUGGUGAAGCUUAGGUGACCUUAAGAACAUCAAGACAUGAGAACCGAUGAGAAAAGAAGAAAUGAAAGUCCCAUUAGUUGGUAGCUAUUUAGAGGGCUAUUAUUUCCACAAGAGCAGAAUAUUAAAAAAAAAAAUAAAUUAUUGAAACUAAAGAAAUCUUACUUUCCAAAGUUGGCACACUUAAGUUAUGUCUAUACUAAUGAAUUAAACUUAGCACAGGAAUAUUGCAACUUCUGAGACUUAGCUGGAAUAAUCCUUGUUUAUGCUUAUGUUGUGUUCUACCUAUUGGGAACAGCUCCUAGAAGGCUCUAACUUCUAAGUAACAGUCAAGUUACAUGAAUAAACAGUAUUCCAGUAGAUGGGAGUUUCCUAGACAUUGUUUAAUUUAUUAGUCUAGAUGCAUAGCCUUCUUGUUUAAUGCUAUUUCUAAAUGAUAUGUUUGAUGUAUCCCUCAUUUAGGGACAGGUAUUUUCAGUGAUUAAUCAAACCUCGCCACUGCAAACUUUAAUUUACUCACAGCACUGUGUUUGGCUGCUGCAUUGUAACUGUAAAAAGCUAGUCAUUUAAAUGUAAGUCUUGUUGUCAUAAGCUUAUUACAGUGCCUUAGGCUGGAGUGUAAAUCUACAGUUGAACUGUGUUACAUUUUCUCAGUUUGCAGAUGCUCCCAUGGGAAAGAAUAUUCUCUUGCCUUGACCUUGGGCAAAAGAUGAGCAUUCACACUGAGUGAUAGUGCAGCGUAAAAUCAUUCUGGCAUGUACUUCUGAGAAACUACAUAAGUUUAAGUGUGUGAAACCCAUGUUGUGACAAAACUACUACCCAAAUUCUGUAGCCCGAACAAAGGCAUGCUGUUGUUUUCAGCACAUCAUCUGUUUUAUAAGAGGGGGAGUAAGGAAAUUUCAGGAAAAACUAUUUUUAUAGAAUGUGAAAAAUAUGUUAAGACUUUGAUAACAUUUAUCCAUUAAAGUCAGCAACUCUCUCUCUGCGGUAUUCACUCCUCUAUAUAACUGAUGAACCUUUCUUAUACAAGUUCUAAUCCUUAAUAAUAAUCAUCAUCAUCUAGACUCAAAGCUGAAACCUAAAUUUUAUUGGAAGGAUACCAUCAUUAUUUUCCUAACUGAGUAGCACGUACUGUGUCAGAGACACACAGUGGCCGGUGACUGUGGUGGGGCUCUGCCUGAGCAAUGUGGGCAGUGUGGGGAAGAAGGGGCCAGCAGACGUUUGCCCAAAUAGCUGCGUUGCUAUAGCACAUCAGGAGAAAGAGAUCUGAAGAGGUAAGUCUGAGGCAGUCUGAGGUUGCUUUAUGAGAACAUUCCUGUGUGAGCUUUAGCAAAGGAACUUCAUUUCUGAAUUUGGGAGCCUGUAGUUCAAGACAAAAUUGUUAGCGUGUUUGUACCUCAUAUUUUUCUGUGAAGAUGAAUACUUUUGAGAGCAUGCAACAUGUGGGUUCCACAGUAAUGAAGCUAUACUGAGAAGUGUACAUAUGAAGGAAAUCACAGAUUAUGUCUGCAAAUCAUACCAAGCCAGUUAUUUUUCUAUUAACAGUAGAGAAGAAUACUGUGCCAGCUUUCAGCUUGAAUUAUCAAUUGAUGUUCUAUGCAAAUAAAAACAUGCAAGUAUUUUUUUUUUGACAGUCUGCGUUUACUUCGUAAGUAAAAGCUUUACUUCAAUACGUUACUUCAUUUACUUUAUUUCAGAGAAGUAAAAUGUCUCUGUACAAACUAAUGGUUGAAAAUUAGCCACUUUUUCUAUUUUCCCAAUACAGAAAGCUGUUUGUUGUGUCCAGUUAUCAGUUUAAGAAUGAGAUAAUUAUAUGAACUGUAUCUGCAGCAGUACUAUUUAGGAUGGGAGAGUUGUGCCAUAGCUGCCUUGUAUAUUAUUUUUUUAAAUGCACAUCGUAUGUGGUUGUGUUUUUUUUCCAUUAAAUAGAAGUUUAUUAUAUGCUUAAAUGCCUUCCUAGAUACUAGAUCAGGGUGCACUAGGCAACAAACUGAAUGUGGAAGAAAUAAGAAUAAACAUUUUUCUAUUUUCCAGGAAUAAUUAAUACAAACCAUGUUUAUAUUGCUUUUUAUUAGAUAUCUGCAAACUUAAAGGUGAAUGACUCCACUUUUGGGAAUGUUUUUGUAGUGGCUGUAUUUUAUCUGAUCUUUUACAGAACUUCUUACUAGAAGUUUAAUACACUAGCUGUUAUUUUGUGUUCACUUUUUUGUUAUUGCAUUGUUUAAUGUUUGUGUAAAAUUCCCUCUAGCUUGGGUGACCAGUCCCGUGAGAGUGGAUGCUGAAUACUUAGCCAAUAAACUACCUGUGAACUUGAAAUUAUUUGGGUAAAUGAAGCCGGUGCAACAUUUGACCUGACACAUGCACUCACAAAGCUGUUUGCUUGGCUCAUUGUGCUGCAAUUUCAUUGUGUGCUGAUCAGCAGAGUCUGUCGUUACAUAUGGAUGGAGUGGAUGACUGUAGCUGCUUGCUGCAAAACACUGGGGAGGUGGUAUGAAAAAGCAAGUUUAAGCAAUAUGACAGCAGAAAAGCCUGUGGAGAAGGACCUGGGGGUCCUGGUGGACGAGAAGCUGGAUGUGAGCCAGCAGCAUGUGCGUGCAGCCUGGAAAGCCAACUGUGUUCUGGGCUGCAUUAAAGAAGGGCUGGCCAGCAGGGAGGAGGAGAUGAUUGUCCCACUCUACUCAGGUCUUGUGAGGCCCCAUCUGGAAUAGUGCAUCCAGGCCUGAGGCCCCCAGCACAAGGACAUGAAGAUCUUGGAGUGGGUCCAGAGGUGGACCACUAAGAUGAUCAGAUGGCUGGAGCACCUCUCCUAUGAGGAAUGGUUGAGGGAACUGGGCUUGUUUAGCUUGGAAAAGAGAAGAUUUCGGGGAGACCUCAUUGUGGCCUUCCAAUACUCUCCAAUACAAGGGAGUGUAUAAACACGAGGGGGAACAGCUGUUUACUAGGGUGGAUAGUGAUAGGACAAGGGGGAAUGGUUUUAAACUGAGACAGGGGAGGUUUAGGAUAUUAGGAGGAAGUUUUUCACACAGAGGGUGGUGAUGCACUGGAACAGGUUGCCCAAGGAGGUUGUGGAUGCCCCAUCCCUGGAGGCAUUGAAGGCCAGGCUGGAUGUGGCUCUGGGCAGUCUAGUCUAGUGGUUGCAUGUAGCUUUAAUAAGUGAAAUGCCAAGGCUAAUUUUAGUGAACUACUUUGAAUGUAUCAGGUAUAUCUAGCAGCAGGGUUUUUUUACCUCCAUUUUAAACUAAAAGAAAAAAUAUUCUGGAGGGCCCUUCAGUUUAUAAUAGUCAGCUUGCUUUAAAUUUUAUUUUGUAGCUCCCUCCAGCAGAAAUGCUGAAAAUUGAACAGUAUAAAUUAGGUAGGUAAGUGCAGAGAUGUGUAAGUCAUCUUGAAAAUUUUCUGCAUUUCACGUACUCUGAUUAACAUAGUCGUGUGGUAUAUAUAGACUGUCAUGAGCUUACUGAGGAGAUUGCUUUCUGUCCAUUUGUUAAAGUUGUUUUGAAGUUGACUGUAGGAUGUGGAUUUUGACUGCCUUAAUGAAUCCUAUUCAACAGCAAAUAUUGCCAGGGAGGAUAUUGUAUCUCAGUAAUUGCACUCUAGGUGGAGAAAAAAUACCUCAGUUCUCCAGAAAAAUGAGAGGUGUAGUCAUAUAGAGUGUUACUUGCUGUACAGAACUGCAGAAGAUGCCAGUGAAGGUGCAGUAACAUGGUCAGUAGAGCCCUAAAGGUUAUGCUUUACUCCAGCUCUGGAAAAUUCUGGGUUCUGAGAAAGAUCAUCAGGAAAAUCACGGUGAGCAUCUGAAAAAAGCUCGGUCCCAGCAGAGCACCCUACGUAAGUCAGGAAUGCGUCAGUGUCUUCUCUCAUUGCAGUUUGCAUGCUGUUAGUCAUUCAAAGAUUCCCCAUAAGAGUAGAAUCACAUGCACUAACUGGAUCAGGAAGUUUCUUACAUGAGAACAUGUGCGCACUGAAUGGCUGAAGUUGGAAGGGACCUCUGGAGGUCAAAUGUGUGCAAGUAUUUUGUAUUUUUCUGUGACAAACAGAUACAAAUUCAAUUCUAAAAAAAAAAUCCAGCUCUCCCUCUUCUGUACAAAAUACAGAAUCAUCACUGCAAUUAGCAAAUCGGACUCAAACUAUGUAGAAGAAUCAAAUAUGUUUAUUCAGUAAGUGGCUGUAGCAGGCUUUCAGAUACAGAGCUGCUGAAAAUGGAAAAGUCUAGUAUAGCAGUAAAGUACAGUGCUCUAGCACUUUCAAACAGUAAAUGGUGGUAGAUACAGUACUCUAAUUGUGAAUUUCCAAGGGUAAACCAGAUAUUGUUUUAUAGAAAUAUAUAUAUAUAUGCCGACAUUAUUUCUUCCUCAUUUAUAAUAUUUGGCUAAAAUCUAGUCUUUGUACAAUUUGUUAAUGGAGAAAUUCCUUUUAAAGUUUCAUUGUUAGGCAUAUUUAUUUCAGUGAAUACAAUUUCACAGUUGUCUAUUAUACUGAGUUUGCAAAAUGUCCUAAGCCAGUCAAAAAUUAGCCUCAGGUUUUUGCUCAUCACAAGUAAGCAUAGAUCUGGUGCCUGCAAGUGAAGUUAAAUGAAUGUCUCUCUCUGAAUAACACAAAGGAAAAAAUAAUCUACCAUCCCUUGGUACACAUUUGCAGUUUUAACAGCAGAUAGGUCAGAUAUGGCAGGGUCUGCAUGUAUGAAUAGCAAUAUUGUUAUUCAUCCAUCAGCCUCAUUACACCUAGGCAGUCUGUCUGUGCCCUGUUAUAGGCCCUUAUUGUAACCUGAGAGUAUGUUUUGAUCAAGAUCCUGGCUUUAAAUAAGUACAUUUUAAGAUGGGAUUUUUGUGGGGAUGAUUAACGUGACAUCCCAAAUUCUGAUCUUACAGUGAUUAGAGGGAGAAUGAAUUCAUCACUACUGCAUUUUGAAUCCUAGCACCUCGAAACACUCAUGUUACUCAGAAAUCUGGAUUUGCUUUUUUAUCUGCAUAUUGAAUUUCAAGACCGAUGGUAGACCUUGUUGAUAGAAAAAUUAUCUGUAAUCAUUGGAAGGAUUCCUAUAAAAACAGUGACAUGGCAAAAAGUUUUAUAAACACAGGAGGACGUAUCAACUUUGAAGUCUGUAUAUUCAGUACUAGACAAAUAGGAAGUUAUGGCUAGCUUAACUUAAUAGCUGAACAGAAACGGAACAGAGGAAAGAAACCUAUAAAACUAGAGUUAGGGGGUAGCAUGUUUAAGUUUUUCAAAGAAGAUUAUGAAUUCACCUUGUUCAAGCUUUGCAUUUUUCAUACAGUCAGGCAAGACUUAGAGCUGUGGGGAAGAAAAGGUACCUUUUAGAUUUAGAUUUAAAGGUACUGGUAAAUGGUACCUUUAUAUAUUAUUAAACUCAUAAAAAGUCUAUUACAAAAAUAUUUGUAGCACUUCUGUGAUAGAAAUAGACAAUGAUGAGCAUUUGGGUUUUCUAGUGACUGCAGAUUCCGUGUUUGAUUUUGCACAUGCUUUUGCAGGAGUAAGCAGUGUGCAUGAAGAGCAACAAACACAUUAGGAAGAUAGAGAAGGAUUAAGGUGAAGAGGUAGGGAGAGAGAAUUCCUUAAUUACUGCUCAAUUCAGCCCCUGAUUUUAAGUUAUUUUGAUGUAUUCACUAUUCCAGUUUAUAAAGUUUAUAAGGGUCUUGGGUUGAAAUGCAUCAUUUUUAAAAGCCAUUUAUGCAUUUAAGACCUUAAGUCACAGAUGGUUUGUGUGCUGCUGAAAUGAAAUUUAUUAAUGUAAAUUUGGUACCUCUUCGGCAAUGUACUUUUUUUUUUCUGGGAAUCCAAAUUGAUUUCUUCCUGCUGGGCUCCUGAUGAGUUUGUAUUAUUGUAGUUAAGAUGAAGAAACUUCAUUCUGUUCAUUUUAGGCUAAUCAAGCAAAAGUGAAAUACAAUUACUUGGUUGCAGGUUACUUGGUUAUUUGUCAGAAAACUUAAAUUGAUUUUAGAAAUGAUCAUAAGAGUUUUGGUAUCUUUCAGUAUCUAGAUCUCAGUUCUCUUUCACAGAUUUUACUAACACCUGUUCCGGCUAGUACCAAUAAAGAGCACAUCUUUUUUUUCCUGUGCAGGUGUAUUUGCUGGGAAGCCAAUAGAGGAAAUCAAGCACUUCUGUAUGUGCUAAUUAUAAAUACGAUAGGCAACACAACUGAAUUGCAUGUCAAUGCGAAAAUUAGUUGAAAAUUUAAUUUUGGAUGGAAAUUACCCAGAACAUCAAUAGAUGGUUUGGCAUCAUUUUUUUUGGCCACAGUGAUUUUGCUUCUCAGCAAGCUAGAGCUUUCGGUUUGGUGCUCUGCCAAUGCCAUCUAAGACCAUAGGCCAUGAAUUCAUGGAAAAAUAGCAACCUGUAUGCCAAUUGAACUGUCUGCUCUCCUCUUACGAUCAGAGUUGUGUAACCUGCAAAAAUCCUGUCUUGUGAAUGUUUCUCUCACCUAUUCAAAUAAUUUACUUGCCCAUACAAACAUAGCAAAUAUCCAUAAAAGAGUAAAGGAAAGAUAUCUUGAAUUUGAAAUAAAAAUAAAGUUUCUGUAAUUAUUUGCUAGUCCUGAAAGAGUUUGUGGGGGUUAGCAGCAAAGCCCUUCGCUUACAUGCAUGUAAAUCAGAGCAAUGUAUUGUGUUGGAAAGGUUGUGUAUGGCAAGCAUAGUUAUCCACUUCUCACAAAACAGCUUGAAUCAGCAACUCAGGAUGUGACUGUGCAAAGCUAAUGGAUGGGUUGUAGAAGAGAAAACAACUACUGCAAGCAAGGAAAAAAGAAAAACAAACAACAAAAAAAGCUGUACUUUCCAUCUUCCUGGCUCUAGAACCUUAAAACUUUCUUUCACUUCUGGUUUAAAUGCACCAUUAUUUCAUGGCUUAACGAAGGGCAUUCACAGAAGAUACAAGAAGUCAGAUGUACUGAUGAAUGGGGCCUAAAAAGGUCUUAGAAGGAAGUCAUGAAUUGUGUGACAGUAUUGUAAUCCCUGUCUGCUCUUCACCAAGGUGUUCAUACUAGAUUCAAGUAUUCAGCCAGCUGAACAGAUGGAUGCCUGAGACCUAUUUACAUGGACUUGUAAUGAAUUCUGUUUGUUGCCCUGUUCUGAACAAAAUGCAGACAAUUAAGAAAAAAAAGGGAAUCUGGGAUUUCAUUCAUAUUCAUCAAGGAGUAUGCUUUAUAAAGCUGUUUUCCUACUACAGCACUUAAUUCUCUGCCCUUUACAUUGCUACAAGUGGAAAAAGAGCACCAGGAAUUUUCUCCUACUUUCUCCUUUAUUUUUCCAAGCUUGAGAAAUGGAGCAGCAUCCCUUCCUCUGCCUGGGGAGGUGCGUUACAUGUUGGUGUGAGACUGUGCUGUGUGACUGAGACACCACAGUUCAGUCCUACCUCCUCAGAAGGCGGUGUCUGAUGGCAGGAUAUGCCCUUAUGAGAACAUACAUAUUUUCACAGAAUCUUCAGUUUCCUGUCAGUAAGACAUGUUAGGUAUGUUUUAAUGACAACUCCAGACUAGAGGAGGCUGGUGCUAAGUAUUUUGCAGCUAUGUAGAUAAUGCCAACAAAACAAAACAAAAAAACAAACAAACAAACAAAAAAACAAACCCAGAAGCUGAAUGUCAAGUUAGAUGUAGAUGUAAUUGGGCCAAGUAUUAACUGAAGAAAGUGGGUAUAGCAGCAGGCCUUUGAAUACUAGAGUAGGCUUGGCUUUUACCAUGAAAAAAUUUCAUUUAGACUCACAGCUAAAAAUGUCACUGCUGUGUGUGUACUCACUUCAGCUCAGAAAAUGUGGAAAAUAUGAUCUUCCAAAAUUCCCUUGUGUUUUUUAACCACACAGAAUCCUGGAACCCUCAGAGGUGAUGUGGAUACACAGAACAAUGCAAAUUUUAUGUAGUCACACAAAGUACAUGACCAAAAUGCUUUCCGAAUAUAAAUAAUACAGAUACAGAUGUCCCUCUUUGCUAAGAUGUAAGAAAUCACAAAGUGUAGUUCUAAAAUGCAAUGGCUAAAAGCUGUGUUUUCAAUUUAAAGUGAGAGCUGGGAGCAUGUGAAGAAUAAAUGAAAUGGUGAGAUUAAGCAAGACUGUGGGAUAAAUACUCUGGUUCAGAUAUAAAGGCUUUAGUGACAAUGUCAGAUGCCUGAGGGUGAGAGUGAAGGACAGAAAAGAUCAGGGUUAUAAAUAGUUUACAUAAAUUGAAGAAAUAGGUCUAAGAAUUCCAGAAGAGUAUAAGGAUGAAAUAGCAAAGAGUACAAAAAAGCCAGUGAGUAGAACAGAUGGGGAACUGAGAUUUGAGGACUGAAACAGCCAAGAUAAUAAGCAACCAACAACCACAAAGUUGGAGAAGAAAUCAUUGAGGGCAGGGAAGACAAUUGGAGCUGGAGGCUUGAAAGGCAGGAGCAAGACAGAAGAAAAUGGAAGAGAGAUGUUUUGAAGUAUAGUGAAAUCACGCAGCGCAACAUUUACUAUUUGAAAACUAAAGAUGAGUACAGGCCAAAGUCAUGAGUAUUGCUUUGAAGUGCCCAAAUGUUAGAAAAGACCAGCAAGUUUCAGAAUAAGCUCAUAUCUGACCUGAUUACUCGAAACCAAUGCUGUCUUUAUAAAAUAGGAAAAACAAAAUUGCACUUUGAAGCAAUCCUGAACUCAGUGUGCUUUGGCCCAAAUAUUGAUGAUGUAAGAAUUCUCCUUUUAAAAAAAAAUAAAGAAUUGUACCUUCAGCAGCUUUACAAACGCAGCUGUUGGGCAUAGGCUUCAAUUAUAUGUAAGUCAGUAUAUUGGUACCAGCUUGUGAAAAGAUCGUUAUAGGAUUCCUUUUUUUCCUUUUUUCCCUUCAGGGUCUUUUAGUUAACAGGAAAACCCAAGUGAACUGGUACUUCCAUCUCAGAUUGAAAUCAGCUGAAUAAAAGUUUUCUUUCCAAGAUUUCCUGGCAUGAUGGAAGAGAAAAAUCUUGCAAUCUCUGAAUCUUACGUAGUAAGUGAAUAAGGAAAUAGGAGUUUUGUCCUGUAUUUCUGAAUUGUCCUGUACAUUUCUGAAUGUAAGUCUUGUAUUUUUUUCUGAAUGGUAGAAGCACUUUCUAUGGCAAUUUCUGCACAGCACCACUGCAGUCUGAUUGUGUGGACAUACAGGUAGAUUUAAAGAAAACAAGCAGCUUUUUCAAAAUGUACUUUGUCAGCUUCAUAGUAUUUCAUCUUUGUGGUACAAUGCAAGCUGAGCAAGUUAAUGAUUAUCACUAUAUCCUUAUGAAAGGAUAGUAAUAAUCUUUCUUUCCUAUUAUUGAGGAGAGUUCUUGCUGACUCUUGACAGGUUUGCUGGUGGUGGUGUAAUUGAUGGUUGUUCUGUUUUGUUUUUGUAGCAGAAGCCAGGUUCUGCUUUAUCACCCAUUUUUUUGUUAACCUAACUUCGGCCUGUUCCAGAGAAAUAUUAUUAAACUGUAGAAUGGGCUCAGAUUUUUGGAAGCUCUGUUUUGAACAGAGUCCAGUGUGCAUGGUGUUCAAGCAGAUUACUUCCUUUGCUUCAUGAAAUGACUGAUGAAGUUCUCUCUCUUAAAAAAAAAAAAAAAAAAAAAAAAAAAAAAAAAAAAAAAAAAGGCCUUCUAUGGUGUCAUGACUGGCUGGAUAGAGGUGAGAGCAGAGGAUAUUGUUUAUCUUGACUUCAGCAAGGCUUUUUGACACUGUCUCCCAUAACAUCCUUGUAAGUAAGCUGAGGAAAUGUGAGGUAGAUGAGUGGAUUAUGAGGUGGAAUGAGACAAUUUUGCAGUAGUGCAAGAAGAUGUUAAGACUGACACUUGUUUAGCCAUGGCAUUAUAUUUUUAUUAUUUCAAAAAGCUAUUCUCACUGCACUGCAUAUGUCUUCACAGAGUUAAACAUUUUGGAUCUAAAGUAGCAGGAGACACCUAGUAUUCCUACAAAAUUAAUGGAGGAGAUUUUGGAGAUCUUCUGGUGAUCCAGUUUUUGUCCAAAGAAAUUGUAGCUCUGGUAAAUAUGAAUAGAUAAUUUCAAAAUACAUUUUCUGUACUUUUCCCUCAUCUUUCACCCAAUUCCAAGUGGUGUCUUAAUUAAACGUGAAGUGAUAUCUAAGCUAGGUCAUUACUUCUCCGCUAGUGAAAGCAGAUUAGAGUAGAAAUUGACAAAAACUUCUACAUGUCUAAGGAAUUUAAAUAGCUGUGUAAAAAAUGGGGUGUUUUUGAAUAACAUUGAGUUAUUCAACUAGAUGUUGAAGUUUUCAGCUAGCUUUCAAAAUACCCAGUCUUGGUGUGUAAGCUCUGCAUCAAGCAUGCAUCUAUUUUAGCACAUAGAUUCAGCCACACUAGGGAAAAAGGCUAUUUUUAAGACAAUGAAAUAUUUCAUCUUUUACUUGGAACAUACACUUGGUUGAUGUUAUAUGUUAACAUUUCUACAUUUACUUACUUUAACUGAACUUAUUCCUUUUUGGUCAGGGAAUAAGAAGGAAAAUAAAGUAGUACCAUAAACCAGCUACAUAAAAAGUUUUAAAAGCACAGGAAGUGAAAUGCAAACAAACCAAUUUGUUUCCACCUUAACUUUUUUUUAUUCUAUUUCAUUUUAUCAAUUCAGGUUGUUUUGCUUUCUGACAGGAAAAAUAUCUUACUUUUUUCUUCUGCUCUAAAUCAUUUUAACAUCACUGGGAAACUCUUAUAUCUUACUUCAGCCUGACGAAAAUAUUUGCAGAUGUGCAGAAACAUGCUCUACAUAUGCUUUAGAGAAUGCCUGCUUUAGAAGAUGCAGUAAGGAUAAGACAGUGAUACAUAAUUGCAGCUAAUUUUUUGGUUGACAAGUUUCAGCAUCUUAUUUUAGGUCUAUUGCAACGGUUAUGAUAGAUUUCCUUGAAAGAUUUGCUGUUGCAACAGCUUGUUGAUCAAAAUUGUCUUUCCUUGGUUGGAAUGGAAUUUGAGAAUUAAACGGGCUAAAGAAGAAACCAAAUUUCAAGGGCAGAUCAGACAAUCCUGUAAAUCUUCAGUCAUCACUCUAGAGACAGACUGAAAAUAUGAAGAGUGCACAAAUUGUUUCAUGGAAGAUCUUCAAGCAGAGUUUAAUGUUUUUGGUUUGGAGAACUGGGGUUUCUUCAUCUUAAUCAAAUUCUUGUCUCAGGCACAAAUCUUUCUCCUUUCCUGCCACAGAACAAAAAACGACCUACUUUUUCCCAGCUAUACCUUACUCUGGAAAUAGAAACACAUGCUCGUUCUGAAGAUAUGCCACUAAGGGUAAAAAACCAUCUUUGAGCUGUCACAUCACUGAAAUCUUUGGCAAAUGCAGGAAAGGAGGACUUGGCAUUCACAGAAGCUGGCUGCAGCUGUGCUUUAAUUGAUACUCUCCAGUAAUACCAUGAAAUUGAUCACUUGUUAAAAUCUGAAGCUACUUUUUAGUUCAAUAUUUCAUUUAAUCAAAAUUGCUCACGAAGAUGUAUAAUGUUUCUGUACAUACAUGACAGUUCAGAUGUGACUGUGGAACAACCUUUUUUUUCUGUCUGACCCGAGUGAUUUAGCCAUUGGACAGCAACUAAUUUGUAUAUUUAAUAAAAUCUAGAAAUGUUUAGUCUAUCCAUGUAAAGCCUUAAGAAAAAUCCCCUCAUUUUCAGAAUAGUUUCUGCAUGAAAUUUUGAUGCAUUGGUGUAAGUGUUCUUUUGGGGGUUAGUAACGUGAUUUAUAGCUGCCAACUGAAACAUGAAGUGUUUAGAAAAAAAGUGCGUAUUUAAUCUGCUAUGGUUUUUUAGAGAUGCAUCUGCAGUUUGUUUUGUUGUAGUUUUUGGAUACAUACUCCACUUUUUUCUUCAGCAAGUCCAUCCUUCUUUUGCAGCUAAAGCUGGUAUGUAAGUUUACAGAUAACAAUAUACAGACUGUAUUAGACAAGAAGCCUUGCAGAUAAUUCAGACUGGAGAUAACCAGAUCUGAAAAAAAGAUGUUUAUAGAAAUGUCUAGGUAUAGGUAAAGCCCCUUAGAGGUAGGAUACAUACUUUCACUUGCUGUAGGAAGCUGAGUGGUAGUCUUUCUAAAUGUUUUGUAAAUAUUUGGAACUUCUGCUGUAGUUUUCAAAACAGUUUUUAGAAAAGCUCUGCAUACAGACACACCCAGAAGAUUGCCAAUACUGUCUGCUGUAACUCAAUGCAGGAAUUAACAUUCUUUUCCUGUAUGCAUGCCAUAGCUGAGCUUCUGGUUAGUUUUAUCUUCCUUUUUCUUUCUUUUUUUUUUUCUCCUUGUAAAUCUCCUCCCAUGUUUGUAUCCUGUGUCCUAUUUCAUGAAUAGUUCAGGACAUACCCUCUUCAAAAAAAGAAAAUUCAGAAAAGAUGGUUAUUCUUAAGCAUUGUGGCAAAACUUGUGGUUACGCAAGUAAAAAUGGCAUUUACUUACUCAGAUUUUUUUUUUUUUUAAUUUUUAUUUAUUUAUUUAUUUUAUUUGCACAUAAGGAAGUCUAUCAGGCCUUCUGUCCAUCAUGGGCCAGUUACUGAGGCUGUAUGCCCAGUGCACACCAAUUGCAAAGCUGUGCCCACAUUAUAGUUCUGUCCUCAGAAAAAGUACACUGGUUAACAAGGUUCAUCUGACAGCACUGCCCACUCAGCUACGGGGCCACAAAUGUAAUGGGCGCAGGAAAAAUUCAAAAUAACUUGUUUAAAAAAAAAAAAAAAGUGUUUUUUGAAUAACUUGUUGGAAUGUGUAGCAUUUUUCAUGGCACCGUAUUUAUUAGCAUAGAUAAGAAAAGUGUCUUCAGUAGGCUUUCCCUGGUGAUCGUUCAAAAAAAAAGGUAAGUCUGGCCAACAGCUCCUGAAGGGAGGCAGGAAGAGCACGAUUAUGAGGCCGCCGUUUUGCAGCAGGGGGCGCCAUUUUACAGCGGAGGCCGCCAUUAGAGGGUGUAACGGACCUGAUGCUGCUCGUCCUCCUGAGGGUGAGGGAUGAGAAGGCAGAAAGCUCAGGGUGGUACAUGGCUGCAGGUAUGGGGUGAGAACUGUGAAGCUGCUGGGAGGAGAUAUGUGAGUGACCUCAGGCAAGCUCACAUGGGUAGCAACCAUAUGGUGUCACACCACAGGGGCCCCUGGGCUGAGGUAUCUGUAAAACUGCAACAUACUAACCUGCCGUCUGCAAACUGAGAUUGUGUGCUUCCUUGUUUGCCUUGUGACUGGUAAGGGUGAUGGAUAGUGCAGCUGAUAAGAUGUAGAACACAGUUAUUUUUUUGUUUUUACAUUAAUGCAAUGCAUUUCCCUGUCAGCUUGUGGUGCUCCAUUGGUGUGGUACAAUGUGAGGAUACACUGAGUGAGACCAUUGUCCUUCAAAAUUUUCUGGAGAUGAAGUCUUCUGGAGGAAAGCUCUGGGAAAUGUCUAUCCUUCCUGAAUGAGUACUGGCUCCACCUUCGGCUUUCAGCAGUCUGUCAGCCUGUUUGUGGGAAACAAAAAGGAAUCCUUGUGUUUGGCCGGAUACCCAGCACCUGCGGAACACAUAUCUACAGCAAAUAUUUUGCUUUGUUUAACUUCUACCUGAAAUAAAGCUGAUGCUAUGGAACUUCAGUUUGGGAAGAUAAGAUUUGGUUUGUUUCACUUGCUACAGUGGCACUUGGGAUGCACUAGCACAAAGCAGUUGUUGCUGAGCUAUUCAAUACAUCUUUUCUCUCCACUUCCACUGAAGGCUUUUUAUUUUGGCUAGUUGUAAACAAUGAUGGUUACUUGGCAUGGAGUUGUGGUUUUUGGUGCUGGGCUGGCUUGUAGGUCUUUUUUUUUUUCUUUUUUGCAAAGUAAUGAUUUUCAAGGAAGUCUACAGCAGUAAAGCUUUUUGCUUAAGGUUAUUCUAAGUGUAAGUAAUUGGUAACUAGAAUAGUAUUUUCUAGGGCUGUCCUAACAGUGUGGCUUUUACAUUUUUUUUUCCGGUGGGUUUGCUUAACUCUGCUUGUGACGUUUUGAAAAGCAAAAAAUGGUAAUUUGACCUGCUCUCUCUGCUGCUGUCUUCAAGUUCCCCCUCUUCAUACAACGAUGAUACCUUUUGAUAACUGUUAUUGAAAGAGCUGAAACUGAGAAAAGGUUACUUAAUAGAAAUGGACAAUUAGUUCUCUUCUUUUUCCCCCCUUCUAGGGAAUUUCAGAAUUAUGCUAAAUUAGAUGAUGGCAUCGGGAACCAAACAAUUUAAUCUCAGUCAUAACGUGUCUGAAACUGUAAGGUAGGAUAGGAACCACUCCUGACUGGAGCUGUUUUGUUCUACCAGCUCAGCUGAACAGUGCACACGGCAGUGUGAUAACACCACAGAUCUCCCAGACCUUGAGUAAGAAUCAGUUCUUUUCACAGAAAUGAAGACCAUCUCUACAUCUACAACUGUUUUAGAGACCUGAGUUGUUACACUGUUUGCAGUUAAAAUAAUGCUACCAUUCUUAGACCAUUCUAAGGAAGAACAAGUUUCAGUGUCACUUAACUUUACACUGUUAUCAAUGGUAAGCAGAAAGUUAAUGUGAUUUUGUUCCUGUCUCACUGUUCAUUCAUUCUCAAGUUAAAUACCUGGCAGUACCUCUAAUGUCAAAGUACAAAGUAUACUUGUGCAUUAAAAUUAAGUUCAAUAAUAUUAAAACCAAAGCCACAGAAACUGUAAAAAGGGGGGUUGAUUGGUGAUGGCUUUCAGCAAAAACCAAACCAAACCAAACAACCCACCUUACCUGUUCAGCGUUUAUAACAUUGCAUGUUAAAAACAAAACACAGAUCCCACAACUCUGAGAUGACCGAAUAAAUAAUAGGUACUGAGGUAGUAGGAAGAUUAAUGGAAAAAAAAAAAAGCCACGUAAAGCAUUAUUAAUAAAUGAAGCCUAUUUAUUAUUUCAAGUGUUAAUGGUAAAAAAAAGUCAGCACAGCUGUUGCAUUUAAAAAAGUGAAACUACAUUUAAGUACUAUGUUUCUAGUUCAGUAAACAGAUGAACCCGAUGUCCUUUAAUGACAUAAUAGUUGAGCAUUAUACAGUACAUCUUAUGAAGACCCGUAAAUUAAAGAACUACUUUUUAAAUUUAGUGAUUAUAAAACUUCUGCAUUCACAGCUUUAGCUUCUUUUUUCUUCCACGACCAUCAGGAGUACCAUCCAUUUUGCGCUUCUGUGCCUGGAAGGGAAGUUUUUCAAGUAAGAUAAUGUGACAGAAAAAGAUCCAUAACUGCAUUUUGAGCCAAAACAGAUGGAGAUGGUUUAACCCGGGCAGCUUUAAAAAUGUGAUAAAUCACAAAAUGUAAUGUGGCAGAUAUACACAUCCCACUCAGAAUACCAGCUGUCUUAUAUUCUAACAAUUCUGGAAGGGCAUAAUUUCAUAGAGGACAGAAAUGUUUAGAAACAAGUAAGGAUGUUAUAAAGCUUCCUUACUUAGAGAAUAAUAGUUCUAGGCACCACUUCUAUGAAUGAUUAUAAGCAACAAUUUUAACAACAAAAUCUAGCCAAGAAAACAGGUGAUUAUUUCCUGUACAAAAAAAGGCCUGUGUGUUUAGCAGUACUUUAGAGUACUUACUAUAUUAAGCAUAUAUAUGCACUUGUUUUCCCAAAUCUAGCUCUUGGAGCCCAUUUCAUGACCAACCCUCUAUCUACACAAGGAAUGCGAAGGCAGGCUCUGAUGUCUAAUUUGUAAACAAAUCUGUAGCAUUCUCAAAGUGAACUGAAAGGUUUGCACUGCCUGCCUACAUAUCCUGCUGUGGUAAACAUCCAUUUCUUUAUGGAUAAAAAUUAAUGAAAAGGCUAAAUAAAUCUCAAGUGUAUUUUAUAACGGUAAACUCAUAUAGCCUACCAACUCAGUGAUCAAAAAACAAGGCAAGUGUAUCUGUUCCAGGUACAGUUUAGAACCUGAACUUUAUUUGCCAUCCACAAGGGUAAUAACUGAGUAACCGUGUGAACUUUAAGCAGUUCUUAGCAAUGCCCUAGCAGGCUUUUUGUUGGAUGCUAUUUUUAAAUAAUUUUAGAUAUCACUUUGCCCAGACAAUCAGAAAAGCUCACCGUCUCCAAGUCCUUUUUUUUUUUUUUGUAAAAACAAUAGAAAAAAAGCACAACCAAAACCAAAGCAGCACCUCUUUAAAUCUUACCGAAGAUGGUUUUGGUCCACGUUUCUUCUUUUCUGCCUUUUCCUUUUCUUCCAGUUCCAUGUUCUCUCUUUCAAUCAGGGUGAUUAAAGUAUUGCAUCUCCUUUGUAGCUCCUAAAUCACACAACACAGUCACUCACUACUUUAGAUUGCCACUCAGUGUAAACAGCAUCAUGUCAGAAUACUAGAAAUACCUCCAAGUUGUAUGUUUUUUGUAUUUCAUGCAAAACCUUGGAAGUAGAAGGGAUUAAACAAAUACUUUAAUGAUGGUCAUUAUCUGGCUUCACAGCAAUGGGUUUGAUCACUGAUGUUGGCUUUUAAAACAAAUCUGUAUUUAAUUCAAAUUCACGUUUAUUGUGAAACACAGUAGUAACUUGAAAUUUAAAUUUCAUCUCCCAUGAAAAUUUUAUAUUACUGCAUUUACCAUCUUAAAAUUGUUGAAAAGUCUAUAAAAAUGUAAUAAACUGUAUAUAUGCACACACCUUACCCUUGCAGAAGCCAUUUAUUAAAUCUGCUAUAUACCUGCAGUGUGUUGGUGCAGGUGUUCACAGGGAAGGAGCUGGAGAUUAAUACGUACCAUUGCAGUUCUAGACUUGAGAAACCAGUCAAAUCUGAACUGGGGGGAGUUUCGGAUACACUGCCUUAAUUCAUCAUAGACAUUUUCUUUAUCAAAUCCUAGCUUGUGAAGCAUACAGAUUAAAAAGCGAUCCUCCUCUUCAGUGUAAUUCUUUCCUUUGUUAGUACCGUAUGAUAUUCUUAGCUGGUGGAAAGGGGCUUUGUAUCUGCCAAUCUUUGUGUCAAGUGCUUUUUUUAUGCUGAUCCGUCUCUGAAUUCUGGCUUCUCCUCUUUCUAUCUGAGCCAUGAUCUUCUCUAUGUCUUGGAGUUCGUUGCACCUUUCCCAGAACACAGCUGAAUACUCAAUGACUUCCUCUGGGGUUUUUCCUUCUACUUCUCGUGCUAUAUUUUCAAUAUCGUCACGGCCCCACUUCUCAUUAGCUUUGAUGAACUGGUUAAAAUCUCUCUUAUUCCAGUUAGUAAAUCCCUUUGCAGCAAUUAAAAGCAAACAUUGCAAAAUUCAGGAUUUGUCCAUCUCCACAUUUGUUUUAACAGAAUUUUUUUAAAUGCCUGAAGAGUAACACUUGCAUCAUAGCAACAAUGUAAACCUGUGCUUUUCCUGCUGUUUGAUGUAGAAGAACAACAUUUUUAUAUUAAACUCAUUGUAAUCUCCCUAUGUAAAAACUGCCAAAUGAUUAGCACUGGUUCUCUAAUUACUACUUUCAGAUAAAAUUAUUUAGGUCAUAAGUGAACCCCUUUAAGACUGAGAAUCCCUCAAGAGAAGCAAGUAGUCUCUACAAUGGCUUUGUUCAGUCCAAGGACCACCCAGAUAUCAUUAAGCUCCUGUGCCACCCCCAGACUCUUGCCCUCAGGACGCCUGUUGUGUAAUGUUAUUCGAUAGGGACAGAAACAGCACUGCUGAAGUUAUCAGCUGCCAAAAUUGGCUAAUGGCACAUAGUAUUAACAUUAAAAAACUGGUACAAAGCCAGCCACACGAUGAUUUAACCACAGCUUGAUUGUACCAAUAUUUACUAGCAACUCUUUCACUGCACUACUACUCAAACAAUAGUUUGUCUUACCCACAGAAAAUACAACACGAUACCCAGACAAAUAGGCAUUAAUCUACUUUGAAUUAUUUAAAUGCACAAGCUAAUAAUCAGGUAGCUGCUUAGCUGAUAUCUUCUUUAAGAGCAGAACAUUAUUAACUUCAAAUCAUAGUUUAAGAAACCUGAGCCUUCAACCCACAGCACAUAGUUACAUAUGAGAGUGGUGAGUAAAGAACGUGCUUCACACUAUGUGAAAAAGGAGUACAUUCAGCCUUGCAUCUAGUUUGCAUGGUUCUGCAACUGAGAAAAGAUGUCACAGGCUACAGUCUGUGCAAACCUGUGAAGCCAGGCUCAGACACCGGAUAGCUCUUAAUCAUUAGGCUUAAAAAUACACAGAAGGUAGAUCAUGUCUGGUAUACUCUGAAUGCACUAACUACGUAGGUAGGCAUCCUUCAAAAAGGUAUCUACGCCCAUCAUUACAAACCUCAUGUUAAACUCUUUUUCAGUAGUACAAACCAAAAUGCGCAGCCUUUAAUUACUUCAAAUGUGGCAUUUAUAAAUGGAUGACAAAAAAUUGUUCAUAUAAAGCAGUAAAACAAAUCAAGCUUCAGAUGAUGUCAGUAUCAUUACAGAACCAACCAUACCUGGGUUAGAAGCUUCUCUUUUUCUUCUAGUUCUUCAUCAUUGAGAGGUUCAGCCUCAUCAAUCUUAAGCUGCUCUUCCUUUUGCGCUUGGGCUGCAUUUGGAAGAUCAGGAU